RNAcentral lists this ribosomal RNA (406 nucleotides) under uncultured bacterium. RNAcentral describes it as "partial 16S ribosomal RNA". It matches the Rfam family "Bacterial small subunit ribosomal RNA", at positions 28 to 526 of the family's 1533-position model. The record is from RNAcentral.
GAUGAACGCUGGCGGCGUGCCUAAUACAUGCAAGUCGAGCGAGCGGCGGACGGGUGAGUAAUGUCUGGGAAACUGCCUGAUGGAGGGGGAUAACUACUGGAAACGGUAGCUAAUACCGCAUACCAUCAGAUGUGCCCAGAUGGGAUUAGCUAGUAGGUGGGGUAAUGGCUCACCUAGGCGACGAUCCCUAGCUGGUCUGAGAGGAUGACCAGGCACACAGGAACAGAGACACGGGCCAGACUCCUAAGGGGGGCAGCAGUGGGGAAUAUUGCACAAUGGGCGCAAGCCUGAAGGAGCCAGGCCGCGUGUGUGAAGAAGGCCUUCGGGUUGUAAAGCACUUUCAGCGAGGAGGCGUUACUCGCAGAAGAAGCACCGGCUAACUCCGUGCCAGCAGCCGCGGUAAUAC